AUUGAACGCUGGCGGCAGGCUUAACACAUGCAAGUCGAGCGGGGGAAGGUAGCUUGCUACCGGACCUAGCGGCGGACGGGUGAGUAAUGCUUAGGAAUCUGCCUAUUAGUGGGGGACAACAUCUCGAAAGGGAUGCUAAUACCGCAUACGUCCUACGGGAGAAAGCAGGGGAUCUUCGGACCUUGCGCUAAUAGAUGAGCCUAAGUGGGAUUAGCUAGUUGGUGGGGUAAAGGCCUACCAAGGCGACGAUCUGUAGCGGGUCUGAGAGGAUGAUCCGCCACACUGGGACUGAGACACGGCCCAGACUCCUACGGGAGGAAGCAGUGGGGAAUAUUGGACAAUGGGGGGAACCCUGAUCCAGCCAUGCCGCGUGUGUGAAGAAGGCCUUAUGGUUGUAAAGCACUUUAAGCGAGGAGGAGGCUACUUUAGUUAAUACCUAGAGAUAGUGGACGUUACUCGCAGAAUAAGCACCGGCUAACUCUGUGCCAGCAGCCGCCGUAA
RNAcentral lists this ribosomal RNA (501 nucleotides) under uncultured bacterium. Its description in RNAcentral is "partial 16S ribosomal RNA". It matches the Rfam family "Bacterial small subunit ribosomal RNA", at positions 30 to 523 of the family's 1533-position model. The record is from RNAcentral.